AAUAUCUGUAGAGAUAAGAGGAAGAGGCAAAAGGUGUGGACUGUUUUCCUCUAUCGGCACAGUUGCAAUUAAUGGCUUUUGGGAUGAAUAACAAGCUGCGCAUUAAUACUGCUCUGGUUGCAUUUAUGCUGCUGCUGCUGCUGCUUCUAUUCAUCGUCGUAUACGUAGCUGAUGAUGGUACAGGAACAGGAGGAGUUAAUGACAAAGUUGCAAGUCUUGUUGAAGAUGAAGCCGCCGAGACCAAAACUACCAAAACCAAAACCAAAACAAAGCAAGAGAAUAAUCUCAUGAGGGGAGAAGA
Prunus avium (sweet cherry) is the source of this 301-nucleotide non-coding RNA. NCBI's taxonomy places the organism in Eukaryota, Viridiplantae, Streptophyta, Magnoliopsida, Rosales, Rosaceae. The record is from RefSeq and is a predicted model, not a curated record.